This 253-nucleotide ribosomal RNA is filed under the name uncultured bacterium. RNAcentral's name for it is "partial 16S ribosomal RNA". It matches the Rfam family "Bacterial small subunit ribosomal RNA", at positions 524 to 776 of the family's 1533-position model. The record is from RNAcentral.
UACGUAGGGCGCAAGCGUUGUCCGGAAUUAUUGGGCGUAAAGAGCUCGUAGGCGGUUUGUCGCGUCUGCUGUGAAAUCCCGAGGCUCAACCUCGGGCUUGCAGUGGGUACGGGCAGACUAGAGUGCGGUAGGGGAGACUGGAAUUCCUGGUGUAGCGGUGGAAUGCGCAGAUAUCAGGAGGAACACCGAUGGCGAAGGCGGCACUCUGGGCCGGUACUGACGCUGAGGAGCGAAAGCGUGGGGAGCAAACAGG